AUCAAAGAUGGCGCGAAAUGUCGGAGUGUGAUGUGAACACAUCACUAUACUAAAAUGGAUAUUCGAUCGUUCUUCAGCCCUGCUUGGAAAGACAGCGAAGUAAGGCGUUUCGAAAGUAGAAAAUAAGCGCGGCAAAGAUUCUACUGCAAAGUCAUUAUCGAAGCAAGAUGUAGGAAAGAGCCGAACGAAAAGCAAGGAGUCUUGGAAAGUAUUGAGAGAGAGGAAGCUGCUGAUUUGAUAAAAAGAUAUGGUGGAAAAGUUACCCAAUCAGUGAACAAAACAAUUUAUUUCAUGGGAUGGGAUCCUGGAGGGAGUAAACUUUCUAAGGAGAACCAAGUGUGUUAUUGGUAGACAAAUGUCGGCCUCGCGCAGUGAAGCAGAUUAUUGGUCAGCAGGGUGAUAAGAGCAACAUGAGAAAACUGAUGAACUGGCUGAGAGACUGGGGAAAAGAUUGAAAGAACUCAGCCUCUAAAUACUGAAAUUUCCCAAUUUUCGAGAAUUCCACGUUAAUCAGUCGAACAAAGAGAAAAGAGAGGAAGGACGCGCUCAAGCUCUGAGAGAUCUCAUGGCCACAAAAUAUCAGCCUGGAGAUUCUUCAACACGCAGCGUGCGUUUCUCUGAGUUGUGUUCCAUUGAGCACAGUUUUCAUAGUUAUUGAUGGACCAUCCGUUUACUUCUGGGUUUGCCUCAGUGAAGUGUAAGAGAGAAAUUGAAAAGUUCAAGGAGGUGAUUUACUGGGCACCAUUUGUACUAAUUGGUGACGACGUCAGCCUGGAUUUCAAGGAUAUUUAGAAGCUGAAGCAAAUAAAUAUUCUGUGUAUACCUUGUAUUCAAUACAAAGUUGCCUUAAUUCAUAAUUAUAGCUUAUGUAUGAGCACUGA
Non-coding RNA from Pocillopora verrucosa, 881 nucleotides. Lineage: Eukaryota; Metazoa; Cnidaria; Anthozoa; Scleractinia; Pocilloporidae. The record is from RefSeq and is a predicted model, not a curated record.